CUUGAUUCCAUCUUUCAAGAAAGAGGCAACCAAAUUAUUCCCUGAAAAAGAAACUGUUUUCCACCAUUUGGGUCGAUAUCUUUUCAAUCCCUCAAAUCAAGUAUGGAGGCAGCUAAUCACCAGGUUCUAUGAUGCAUAUCUAGCCAAUGCACAUGAAAGGAUUGGCCUCCAAUUAAGAGUAUUCCAUGCUAAUGCUGCGCAAAUUCAAACUGUGAUGGAUCAAUUAUUAGCAUGUACCCUAAAGAAGAAACUUCUACCAGAAGUAGACACAAGAAAUUCUGUUGCUUCCUCUUCUAAGAAUCGGACAGCAUCAAAAGCUAUUUUGGUAACAUCUUUAUAUUCUGAGUUCUACAGGAAUUUAAGUAAUAUGUAUUUGGCG
This 379-nucleotide unclassified non-coding RNA is filed under the name Hevea brasiliensis (rubber tree). The record is from RNAcentral. Lineage: Eukaryota; Viridiplantae; Streptophyta; Magnoliopsida; Malpighiales; Euphorbiaceae.